This 402-nucleotide ribosomal RNA is filed under the name Triticum aestivum (bread wheat). RNAcentral describes it as "partial small subunit ribosomal RNA". The record is from RNAcentral. Lineage: Eukaryota; Viridiplantae; Streptophyta; Magnoliopsida; Poales; Poaceae.
AUGGGAUGUGCCGCCACACCUGUUGUUGGGCAAGGCACACGCCUCUCCGGGCUCCGACCGCCUCGUCAUGGUAUGACUACACCCGUUCUACUGCGUUACUUCCCUGUUUUUAUGGAUUGCAACCUUCGUGUAGUGUUGUGGAACGUGUGUGGGCUCAACUGCCUGGCUAAACAUUCCGAUGUUCGCUCGGUGACCUCCUCCGUUCGCCCGACGCUUGUUUGCCUCCAGGAAACUAAGCUUUUCGUGGUCUUGUUGUCCCUUGUAACGGAUACCUUAGGCCCCGAGUUCGCUGACUUUCUCUCACUCCUGGCCGAUGGCACAAGGGGUGGUAUCAUUCUCGUCUGGCACUCCGUCGACAUCUCUCUCACUAGUAGAAAAAGGGUCAAAUGGCAAGCACAUUAG